RNAcentral lists this ribosomal RNA (254 nucleotides) under uncultured bacterium. RNAcentral's name for it is "partial 16S ribosomal RNA". It matches the Rfam family "Bacterial small subunit ribosomal RNA", at positions 524 to 776 of the family's 1533-position model. The record is from RNAcentral.
UACGUAGGGAGCAAGCGUUGUUCGGAUUUACUGGGCGUAAAGAGCUCGUAGGCGGUUCGGCAAGUCGGAUGUGAAAUCUCCACGCUCAACGUGGAGGGGCCAUCCGAUACUGCCGUGACUCGAGUCCGGUAGGGGAGUGUGGAAUUCCCGGUGUAGCGGUGAAAUGCGCAGAGAUCGGGAGGAACACCCGUAGCGAAGGCGGCACUCUGGGCCGGUACUGACGCUGAGGAGCGAAAGCGUGGGGAGCGAACAGG